AAUGCUUGUGCUGUUUUGUGUCUUUUGUAUGUAAAUUCAUUGGAGAAGUCCCCCCUCCCCUUACACGCUACGGGCAAUAGUACUUUUACUUUUACUUUGUACUUCAAGUAUUUUUAAGGAUACUUUGUACUUAAAAUUUUUGCUUGAGUACGUUUUGCCUUCAGUACUUUUUACGUUUUUAAUUACUCAAGUAGUUCAGUUUAUUGUUAAUUACUUCUACUUUUACUCAAGUACAAAUUCAAAGUAAUUUAGGCACCACUGAUUAUAUGUAACUAUGUGAUAUAGUAGACCUUAUGUCUUAAUCAAUUCCAUGGGCUAUGUGAUAUAGUAGACCUUAUGUCUUAAUCAAUUCCCCCCCGGGCAUUUGUCGGGCAAUUGUCAUUUUGGCGAAAAAACCAAUGAAAAUGCCCCACCAUGGGGUCCAAAUAAUGCAACAAAAUCCCCACCCUUAAUUGGGGACUUACAUUUGAUGCAAAUGCCCCCACCCUUGGGGACAAAAUAUACGUUUUCUGAGGAUUUUUGAACUAAAAUAUUGAAUGCAGGCUCUAUCUCGUAUCAAUAUAUCUGUAUUGUAUUCAAAAUCGAUUCUGUAGCCAUUUCGUUUCAA
Non-coding RNA from Paramuricea clavata, 607 nucleotides. Lineage: Eukaryota; Metazoa; Cnidaria; Anthozoa; Malacalcyonacea; Plexauridae. The record is from the annotation of a GenBank genome assembly.